Molecule: non-coding RNA, 253 nt
Organism: Pelobates cultripes (western spadefoot toad)
Lineage: Eukaryota; Metazoa; Chordata; Amphibia; Anura; Pelobatidae
Source: the annotation of a GenBank genome assembly
GGAGAGAAGAAAUCAAAUAGAAGAGCAGGCCAAGAGUUACCAUCUAGCAAAAUAAAACACAAACAAUGAAAGGAAGAAACAAAGUCAAGAUGGUUACCUUUCGAAGGCUUCAACAUGGCUUCAACAUGGCAGCCCAGCCCAGUCUAACAAUAACGCCAGCUCUGUAAUUAUAAUCGUCAAAAAAACCAAAGCAUUAUCCAAAUGUAGAACUAUUAUUGUUGAAAGUAGCACUCUUCGGUGAAGCAGUUUCUGU